This 742-nucleotide ribosomal RNA is filed under the name uncultured bacterium. RNAcentral describes it as "bacterial SSU rRNA". It matches the Rfam family "Bacterial small subunit ribosomal RNA", at positions 53 to 807 of the family's 1533-position model. The record is from RNAcentral.
ACAUGCAAGCCGAACGGAAAGGCCUGCUUUUGUGGGGUGCUCGAGUGGCGAACGGGUGAGUAACACGUGAGUAACCUGCCCUUGACUUUGGGAUAACUUCAGGAAACUGGGGCUAAUACCGGAUAGGAGCUCCUGCUGCAUGGUGGGGGUUGGAAAGUUUCGGCGGUUGGGGAUGGACUCGCGGCUUAUCAGCUUGUUGGUGGGGUAGUGGCUUACCAAGGCUUUGACGGGUAGCCGGCCUGAGAGGGUGACCGGCCACAUUGGGACUGAGAUACGGCCCAGACUCCUACGGGAGGCAGCAGUGGGGAACAUUGCACAAUGGGCGGAAGCCUGAUGCAGCAACGCCGCGUGCGGGAUGACGGCCUUCGGGUUGUAAACCGCUUUCACCUGUGACGAAGCGUGAGUGACGGUAAUGGGUAAAGAAGCACCGGCUAACUACGUGCCAGCAGCCGCGGUGAUACGUAGGGUGCGAGCGUUGUCCGGAUUUAUUGGGCGUAAAGGGCUCGUAGGUGGUUGAUCGCGUCGGAAGUGUAAUCUUGGGGCUUAACCCUGAGCGUGCUUUCGAUACGGGUUGACUUGAGGAAGGUAGGGGAGAAUGGAAUUCCUGGUGGAGCGGUGGAAUGCGCAGAUAUCAGGAGGAACACCAGUGGCGAAGGCGGUUCUCUGGGCCUUUCCUGACGCUGAGGAGCGAAAGCGUGGGGAGCAAACAGGAUUAGAUACCCUGGUAGUCCACACCGUAAAC